UCUGCAGUCCAGGCCUAGUGCGGAAGUAGA
This 30-nucleotide non-coding RNA is filed under the name Rattus norvegicus (Norway rat). Lineage: Eukaryota; Metazoa; Chordata; Mammalia; Rodentia; Muridae. The record is from RNAcentral.